CCUACGGGUGGCAGCAGUGGGGGAUAUUGCACAAUGGGGGGAACCCUGAUGCAGCGACGCCGCGUGGGUGAAGAAGCGCCUCGGCGCGUAAAGCCCUGUCAGCAGGGAAGAAAAUGACGGGACCUGAAGAAGAAGCCACGGCUAACGACGGGCCAGCAGCCGCGGUAAUACGUAGGGGGCAAGCGUUAUCCGGAUUUACUGGGUGUAAAGGGGGCGCAGGCGGGGAGGCAAGCCAGGAGUGAAAGCCCGGGGCCCCACCCCGGGACUGCUCUUGGAACUGCGGGGCUGGAGUGCAGGAUGGGCAGUCGGACUUCCUGGUGUAGCGGUGAAAUGCGUAGAUAUCAGGAGGAACACCGGUGGCGCAGGCGGCCUGCUGGACUGCAACUGACGUUGAGGCCCGAACGCGUGGGGAGCAAACAGGAUUAGAUACCCUUGUAGUC
This 440-nucleotide ribosomal RNA is filed under the name uncultured bacterium. RNAcentral's name for it is "partial 16S ribosomal RNA". It matches the Rfam family "Bacterial small subunit ribosomal RNA", at positions 338 to 795 of the family's 1533-position model. The record is from RNAcentral.